RNAcentral lists this ribosomal RNA (461 nucleotides) under uncultured bacterium. RNAcentral describes it as "partial 16S ribosomal RNA". It matches the Rfam family "Bacterial small subunit ribosomal RNA", at positions 338 to 795 of the family's 1533-position model. The record is from RNAcentral.
CCUACGGGAGGCAGCAGUGAGGAAUAUUGGUCAAUGGGCUUACGCCUGAACCAGCCAAGUCGCGUGAGGGAAGACUGCCCUAUGGGUUGUAAACCUCUUUUGUCGGGGAGCAACGCCGGCUACGUGUAGCCGGACUGAGAGUACCUGACGAAAAAGCAUCGGCUAACUCCGUGCCAGCAGCCGCGGUAAUACGUAGGGGGCAAGCGUUAUCCGGAAUUACUGGGUGUAAAGGGGGCGUAGACGGUUAAGUAAGUCUGGCGGGAAAGGCCGGGGGCCAACCCCGGGACUGCUGUGGAAACUAGUGAACUUGAGUGCAGGAGAGGUAAGCGGAAUUCCUAGUGUAGCGGUGAAAUGCGUAGAUAUUAGGAGGAACACCAGUGGCGAAGGCGGCUUACUGGACUGUAACUGACGUUGAGGCUCGAAAGCGUGGGGAGCAAACAGGAUUAGAUACCCUAGUAGUC